GCUGGGCAUGGUGGUGCAUGCCUGUAAUCCCAACAGAUCAGGAGGCUGAGACAGGAGGAUCAGGAUUGUGAGUUCAAAGCCAGCCUCAGCAAAAGCCAGGCUCUAAGCAACUCAGUGAGACCCUGACUCUA
Molecule: small RNA, 131 nt
Filed under: Marmota monax (woodchuck)
Lineage: Eukaryota; Metazoa; Chordata; Mammalia; Rodentia; Sciuridae
Source: RNAcentral